RNAcentral lists this ribosomal RNA (747 nucleotides) under Klebsiella planticola. Its description in RNAcentral is "bacterial SSU rRNA". It matches the Rfam family "Bacterial small subunit ribosomal RNA", at positions 21 to 760 of the family's 1533-position model. The record is from RNAcentral. Lineage: Bacteria; Pseudomonadati; Pseudomonadota; Gammaproteobacteria; Enterobacterales; Enterobacteriaceae.
GGCUCAGAUUGAACGCUGGCGGCAGGCCUAACACAUNAAGUCGAGCGGUAGCACAGAGAGCUUGCUCUCGGGUGACGAGCGGCGGACGGGUGAGUAAUGUCUGGGAAACUGCNUGAUGGAGGGGGAUAACUACUGGAAACGGUAGCUAAUACCGCAUAACGUCGCAAGACCAAAGUGGGGGACCUUCGGGCCUCAUGCCAUCAGAUGUGCCCAGAUGGGAUUAGCUAGUAGGUGGGGUAAUGGCUCACCUAGGCGACGAUCCCUAGCUGGUCUGAGAGGAUGACCAGCCACACUGGAACUGAGACACGGUCCAGACUCCUACGGGAGGCAGCAGUGGGGAAUAUUGCACAAUGGGCGCAAGCCUGAUGCAGCCAUGCCGCGUGUAUGAAGAAGGCCUUCGGGUUGUAAAGUACUUUCAGCGAGGAGGAAGGCGUUAAGGUUAAUAACCUUNGCGAUUGACGUUACUCGCAGAAGAAGCACCGGCUAACUCCGUGCCAGCAGCCGCGGUAAUACGGAGGGUGCAAGCGUUAAUCGGAAUUACUGGGCGUAAAGCGCACGCAGGCGGUUUGUUAAGUCAGAUGUGAAAUCCCCGGGCUCAACCUGGGAACUGCAUUUGAAACUGGCAAGCUUGAGUCUUGUAGAGGGGGGUAGAAUUCCAGGUGUAGCGGUGAAAUGCGUAGAGAUCUGGAGGAAUACCGGUGGCGAAGGCGGCCCCCUGGACAAAGACUGACGCUCAGGUGCGAAAGC